RNAcentral lists this microRNA (22 nucleotides) under Bombyx mori (domestic silkworm). RNAcentral's name for it is "bmo-miR-2810". Lineage: Eukaryota; Metazoa; Arthropoda; Insecta; Lepidoptera; Bombycidae. The record is from miRBase by way of RNAcentral.
AGAUUUUCGAGAACAGCUAAUU